This 377-nucleotide ribosomal RNA is filed under the name uncultured eukaryote. RNAcentral's name for it is "partial 18S ribosomal RNA". It matches the Rfam family "Eukaryotic small subunit ribosomal RNA", at positions 592 to 976 of the family's 1831-position model. The record is from RNAcentral.
CAAUAGCGUAUAUUAAAGUUGUUGCAGUUAAAAAGCUCGUAGUUGGAUUUCGGGGCAGCCUGGCUGGUCCGCCGCAAGGCGAGUACUGGUCAGCCGCCCUUCCUCUCGAAAGCCCCGACUGCUCUUCGUUGCAGUGGUCGGGUAGUUCGGGACGUUUACUUUGAAAAAAUUAGAGUGUUCAAGGCAGGCCUACGCCUGAAUACAUUAGCAUGGAAUAAUGGAAGAGGACCUCGGUCCUAUUUUGUUGGUUUCCAGGGCCGAAGUAAUGAUUAAGAGGGACAGUUGGGGGCAUUCGUAUUUUAUUGUCAGAGGUGAAAUUCUCGGAUUUAUGAAAGACGAACAACUGCGAAAGCAUUUGCCAAGGAUGUUUUCAUUAA